AUGCGCGCAAACACCUGCGAGGACUCGUCGGACGGGUUCGACACGGGUGGCGGCGAGAAGAAACGCGGCAGCGGUUCCGGGGGCGGAGGCGGCGGCGAGGACGGGGAGCUGGUGGCGAUCGACAAGGGGUUCCGGAUGGAGCUGGACGAGCUGCUGCGGUCGUCGGCGUACGUGCUGGGGAAGGGCGGGAAGGGGAUCGUGUAUAAGGUGGUGGUAGGCAACGGGACGACGCCGGUGGCCGUGCGGCGGCUGGGCGGCGGCACCGCGGCCCCGGAGCGGUACAAGGAGUUCGCGGCGGAGGCCGGCGCCGUCGGGCGCGUGCGGCACGCCAACGUGGUACGGCUGCGCGCGUACUACUGGUCGCCCGAUGAGAAGCUCGUCGUCACCGACUUCAUCAACAACGGCAACCUCGCCUCCGCGCUGCGCGGGGGGUUUCUGCAAAACUGCGUACGCUGA
This 456-nucleotide ribosomal RNA is filed under the name Triticum aestivum (bread wheat). RNAcentral's name for it is "partial small subunit ribosomal RNA". Lineage: Eukaryota; Viridiplantae; Streptophyta; Magnoliopsida; Poales; Poaceae. The record is from RNAcentral.